RNAcentral lists this unclassified non-coding RNA (324 nucleotides) under uncultured fungus. Its description in RNAcentral is "partial contains 5.8S ribosomal RNA and internal transcribed spacer 2". The stretch from base 1 to 133 matches the Rfam family "5.8S ribosomal RNA", at positions 22 to 154 of the family's 154-position model. The record is from RNAcentral. Lineage: Eukaryota; Fungi.
UGGUUCUGGCAUCGAUGAAGAACGCAGCGAAACGCGAUAAGUAAUGCGAAUUGCAGAAUUCAGUGAGUCAUCGAAUCUUUGAACGCACAUUGCGCCCUUUGGUAUUCCGAAGGGCAUGCCUGUUCGAGCGUCAUUAUCAACCCUCAAGCCUUUGCUUGGUAUUGAGAAUUGGAUUUGGAGACAUUUCCAAUCUUGAAAUGCAAUGACUGGUGAAAUGUUGACCCGGUACAAUGAGUCUUCUAGACACGUACUUGCGGAAGGCACCAACUUGUCUUGACUAUUAUUUCUAUGGUUGACCUCGGAUCAGGUAGGAAUACCCGCUGA